Molecule: microRNA precursor, 88 nt
Filed under: Branchiostoma floridae (Florida lancelet)
Lineage: Eukaryota; Metazoa; Chordata; Leptocardii; Amphioxiformes; Branchiostomatidae
Description: microRNA bfl-mir-34e precursor
Gene: bfl-mir-34e
Source: miRBase by way of RNAcentral
CGAGCCCGCCAGUUUGGCAGUGCGCGCCUACAGCUGACCCGGUAUGACCUCACGGGCCACUGUACACACUCCCAGCCGGGCGGGCCAA